GACGAACGCUGGCGGCGUGCUUAACACAUGCAAGUCGAACGGAAAGGCCCUGCUUUUGUGGGGUGCUCGAGUGGCGAACGGGUGAGUAACACGUGAGUAACCUGCCCUUGACUUUGGGAUAACUUCAGGAAACUGGGGCUAAUACCGGAUAGGAGCUCCUGCUGCAUGGUGGGGGUUGGAAAGUUUCGGCGGUUGGGGAUGGACUCGCGGCUUAUCAGCUUGUUGGUGGGGUAGUGGCUUACCAAGGCUUUGACGGGUAGCCGGCCUGAGAGGGUGACCGGCCACAUUGGGACUGAGAUACGGCCCAGACUCCUACGGGAGGCAGCAGUGGGGAAUAUUGCACAAUGGGCGGAAGCCUGAUGCAGCAACGCCGAGUGCGGGAUGACGGCCUUCGGGUUGUAAACCGCUUUCGCCUGUGACGAAGCGUGAGUGACGGUAAUGGGUAAAGAAGCACCGGCUAACUACGU
RNAcentral lists this ribosomal RNA (467 nucleotides) under uncultured bacterium. RNAcentral's name for it is "partial 16S ribosomal RNA". It matches the Rfam family "Bacterial small subunit ribosomal RNA", at positions 28 to 506 of the family's 1533-position model. The record is from RNAcentral.